Gopherus flavomarginatus (Mexican gopher tortoise) is the source of this 431-nucleotide long non-coding RNA. RefSeq lists it as uncharacterized. The transcript is spliced from 3 exons. The record is from RefSeq and is a predicted model, not a curated record. Lineage: Eukaryota; Metazoa; Chordata; Testudines; Testudinidae.
GAGGACAGACAGGUCUGAGGAGCAGAGCAGGAGCUCUGGGAAGGAGAAGAGCAAUAUGAAGAUGGAGUGUAAGAUGAGGCCAGGUAAGGAAAAGAAGUCACGGGGAUGGAGUGCAGCCCUGAGGUGAGUUGGAAAGUGAUCGAGAGCAGUGACAGCGUGAAUCCUGUUGAUGCCAGGCAAGAGCUGCCCAACUGGAACGAGAGUAACCGUCUCUGUCGUUGGAAUGGAGCUUUUAAUUGACAUUUGCUGGAUUCAAAUGGCUGACUUGCAACACCAGUUUUGACAUAGUUCUGCAUAUUUUAUUACAAUUUGACCAGUAUUCAAGGAUUCAAUUCCUUUAUAGGAGGUUUUAGAGGUCAUGCUUAUUUAUUUGAUGUUAUUUUAUCAUUCUGCUGUAGCACACUUUUUUGAUAAAAUGUUGAAAUUAUUAA